GGUUGUAUAGUGUAGCGGUUAUCACUCCGGAUUCUGAGUCUCCCUAAUUUAGAAGAAGGAUUCCGGCAACCCCGGUUCGAUUCCGGGUACGACCU
Molecule: non-coding RNA, 95 nt
Organism: Copromyces sp. CBS 386.78
Lineage: Eukaryota; Fungi; Ascomycota; Sordariomycetes; Sordariales; Sordariaceae
Source: the annotation of a GenBank genome assembly